Molecule: small nuclear RNA, 312 nt
Filed under: Neotoma lepida (desert woodrat)
Lineage: Eukaryota; Metazoa; Chordata; Mammalia; Rodentia; Cricetidae
Description: 7SK RNA
Rfam family: 7SK RNA
About the family: 7SK was discovered as an abundant small nuclear RNA in the mid-70s but a possible function has only recently been suggested. Two independent studies have found that 7SK RNA binds the CDK9/cyclin T complex (known as elongation factor P-TEFb).
Source: Rfam by way of RNAcentral
GUGUGAGAGCAAUUGGACUGUGACGUCUGUCAUCCCAAUGAUCUCUAGGGUUGAUUAGGCUGAUCUAGCUGGCUAGUCAUGUGUUCCCUUCCUCUCUAUUUGCUCCACAUGCAUCCCUCCCAAAGCUGCAUGCUCUGUCAAAGACAAUGACCUUCCCUGAUACAGGAGGACCACGGCUUGGUAUGGGAGUAGCUGUACUCACUCUGUUGCUAUAAUCUCCAAACAAGUUGAUAAGAUGGACUGGAUGCUGAGCUGCUUCCUUCUCUUUCUCCUCAUUCAAACACAAGGAUAUACUUAGGGGUAAAAGGUUUU